This 706-nucleotide unclassified non-coding RNA is filed under the name Hevea brasiliensis (rubber tree). Lineage: Eukaryota; Viridiplantae; Streptophyta; Magnoliopsida; Malpighiales; Euphorbiaceae. The record is from RNAcentral.
GGAAUUCUCGGGAUCAUUCUUAUUAAAUCUGAUACACAUUACAACGAGCAACUUCAGCGGCUCAUCAUCAUUUCUUUCUUUCACUUUGGACUCAGCUUUAGGGAAGCACUGUUGAUACAAUAUCUCUUCCCAGUCGGUGGCGGACCAUCAUCAAAGACAUGACCAAGGUGGGCAUCACAGACAGCACAAAGAACCUCCGUCCGGGGCAUGAAUAUGAUUGACAUAUCCAACUUUGAUUUCACAUUGUCUCCAAUCGGUUUAUAAUAUGACGGCCAGCCAGUCCCGCUGUCGAAUUUUGUGGAAGAUUCAAAUAAGGGCGUAUCGCAACAAAUACAAUGGUAAGUUCCGGGUGUUUUUGUAUUCCAGUAUUCCCCUGAAAAAGCCCUUUCUGUACCCUUUUGUCGAGUGACAUAAUAUUGUUCUGCUGUGAGGCGCUUCUUCCACUCCUCUUCGCCUAUGGAAGGGCCACCAACCUUACCUUGCUCUUGAAAUUGAUCCGGCUUCUGAGAAGAGGGAGAGGAGCCCAUCGCACGGACGGCGAAGCGCCUGAAGGAUCGGCCUCUGGUUUCCUUGUUGGGGACGAGAAGAGCACGGGACUGAGAGCGCAGGGAAUCGAAGGCGGUAGCGGAGAGAUUGGUCGUCGAUGGCAAAAUCCUCACACUCAUCGUCGUUUCUAGGUGGUCAUUGUUGACGAAGUGUUCAAAAG